Drosophila eugracilis is the source of this 1430-nucleotide RNA transcript. It is a transcript of the gene named serine/arginine repetitive matrix protein 1, with no coding region annotated. NCBI's taxonomy places the organism in Eukaryota, Metazoa, Arthropoda, Insecta, Diptera, Drosophilidae. The record is from RefSeq and is a predicted model, not a curated record. The transcript has 4 exons.
CAAAAACACUCACAACAUGACAGUACACCAAUAUUUCGGUCUAGCUAAAUUUUCAGUUUCGCCCUGCUUUUCGGGUCAAUAAUGCCAAUGUGACUAUAAUGGGGAACACUCCGAGCUCCAGUCAAGUGGGUCGGAGGCCAUCGCAUGCUCGCAGCGAGGAGGAAAUUUUUCAUGGAAGCCACCGGAACCCAGACAGGAAUCGCAGUCGGCACUGUUUCGUGAUUCGCUCUCAAAGGCCUCCAAGGGGAGUGGGUGUCCUCGAUGAGGAAACCCGGUGCUAUUGUCCACAAACUACGACGACGGCGACGACCACAUCUAGCCCUCCGGCUGCUAGUACAGACCUUAAGCCCCGUCAACGAUGCUGCUGUGGCUCACCACCAGGAACUACAAGGCAGAGAGCUUGCUGCAGUUCCGGAAAUAAGACCCAGCGAUGUUUCAAUUGCCCCGGAAACGAAAGUGGCGGACAGGGACAGCGGAGGGUAAAAGCCUGUCACCCGGAUGCAUACCCCGUACCUGAGCUUCUAAGAACAAAGCAAAUGUGUCUUCACCCGUUGGGCGCAAGAUGCGAUUGCGAAGACCGCAAAGUGCAUUAUGCCAGGACAGCAGCACCAACUCCGGGAGAGCCACUCCCUAUUCCGCCAGAGCGACAAGUUGAGGUCCCUUACAGCGACUCGGGGAGAUCCUUCGAACCUGCUGUUCAAGCAAUAAAUGAAACCUGUGAGGAUGUGCACGAUGUAUACUAUCCGCGCCGUCCUAGAAGUACGCGAAUACCAGAAGUAGAUCCGCUGGCCAACUUUGACAUUAACCGAUUUGAUAGAGAGGCAACCAAUCAAGGUCCUGGAGGUAGGAGACGAAACGUUUCCAUUCGCACAUGUGUAGACUACGAUUACGAACCGGAAUAUCCACCUCGCGACAGGACUUAUCGAGCUUCCAAGGCUCCUCCCCAACAUCAUCCCGGAUAUCCACCUACUCAAAGUUCUCCCGGAUAUCUUCCCCCCGUAUAUCCACCCCCUCCCUCGACAUAUCCACCUCCUCCGUCAGCAUAUCCACCACCUCCACUCUCCACAUAUCCACCUCCUCCCCCCUCAUAUGUAUCACCACCCGCCGCAUAUCACCCCCCUUCCGCAGAAUAUGCACCUAGAAGCCAGCCACCACAUCAAUCUUCGCAACGACCUUAUCAGCAUAGAACCCAUCCGGGAUCUUAUGAUGAUGGAGAAAUCGAGUAUGUGAAGUGUCCAUACAAAUGAUAAAAUAGGGAUUUAUUGCUAAGGAAAUAGACUAAACUGUGAGUAGCAAAUGAACUACAAAUCUUACAAUCGGAAUGCAGCCCUAAGCGUUUGAGAAGCACUGGUAUUGCUUAGCACAAUAGUUCAGUGUUGCAAAGCGCUUGUAUUAGUGGGAAAGAAGAAGAGUCAGCGACGCGUGCAAAA